GUGUCUUGUGUGCAUUUUAUUACAAAAAAAAAAAAAAAAAAACACAUUCUAUAUAUAAUUGGCCAUAAUUUCGAUAGAUUUUCUAAUCUGGCAACAUUCGAUAACGUCAUCAGUUUAGAGAAGGAUAGCAUUGUUGAAUAAAAAUUACAUUGGAAUUGUGUAUGUGAUGCAUCUGUUGGUGCACUAGCCGGAAAUAUGAUCCCGUACACUUGGAUUUUUCUCUAGCCGCUAAAGUCAACUGUCACCGCAGUGAAGCCAGCCGACUCUCGACUCGACAGAAAACGCAGCUACAGGUUGCAGCAAAGAGGCCUCAACAAUCGUUCCAGAUUCUUCAUCAAGAUAAAUCCAGAGCACAGCAAGUGCAAUUCGAAGGUCCAGGUUAGCAGAAGAACUGGGAAGGUGGUCCAAAGAAAAAACGAGUCCCUCAAUCCACAUGUGGCAUUGUUCAUCAGGGACUUAAUUGAGUAUGACUGGAAGAACAACUAAUACCAGGGUGGAAGACUCCAGCCCAUGAAAUUGACUAGUUCAGGCCCGUUUUUGAAGAAAAAUACAGUUCUGGGAGAAAAACAACGUUCAGGGACCAAAUUCUACUGUUUGAAA
Long non-coding RNA from Cyprinus carpio (common carp), 600 nucleotides. RefSeq lists it as uncharacterized. The transcript has 4 exons. The record is from RefSeq and is a predicted model, not a curated record. Lineage: Eukaryota; Metazoa; Chordata; Actinopteri; Cypriniformes; Cyprinidae.